AUGAUAAAGAUCAGUGUUAUGGUUGAGCCUCAUGGCUCUACUACUGGGAGACGUGGGCGUAAGACUCCUCGAGAGUCAGAUACUCUCGAGGAGCGAGAAAGGAAGCGGCUGCGAGAUAUCUUUGCAGAACCAUCUGACGAGGAUUCUUUUGAGGGGUUUACUGAGAGAAUGGAGGAAGAGAUGGUUAGCUCGGAAGAGGAUGACAUGGAAUGGACUCGUGUAAGGGAGGAUUUGGGUGCCACUGGCAAUGAUAGUAUGGAAGGCGAUUGGGGACCUUCAGGAUUAGACCCGUGGACAAGCUGGAGGGAUGGGACGGGAUCCACAGCUGGGGAUGCUGUGGGGCGUAGUCAAAGGUGUUCCAGUUCUGAUGAGGAAAGUGAUGAGGAAACGCCCGGGCUAAGGAGAACAGCUGAUAGCGAUGAGGAAACGCCCGGGCUAAGGAGAACAGCUGAUAGCGAUGAGGACUUGUAACUGGCAUAAAAUGGGGUUUGGGAGCAAUAGCAAAUUGCGUUGGGCAAGGUAAUCUGGACGAAUGCUUGGGAUCUGUGUGGGAAGUUUUCCUGAAGACGGGUGUGAUUCGUUUGCUGACUACGUAAGUUAUCCUGGACAUUGGGCUCAGACGGCGGGAGGAAUUGUGUGGGGUUUUGUUGUGCAACCUCUGCUUAAUCUUAAUAGCUUUGACCUUCCGUCGUCUUCUUGACGGACGCCAUCUGCUUACUCUGGACUUACGGACUGACUGACUACGGCCUCGGAUUCUCCUACCUGUGUCUAUCGUUGGAACUGGUGAACUACAAACGUCUGCAUCUGCCUUACGACCUUCGGAACGGAUUGGGACUUCGCUGACUGCUUCUGCCCUCGUCUGCUGUGUUUGUAUCGGGAAAUUGCCUGCUGUGUGGAGGAGUAACCUCUAAGUUACUCAAACAUAGCUCUUGGCAGCAGAGAAGCAUCUGCUGCCAAUUAGUUGCAUUCCUUUGAACUUUUUGUUCACCAGCUUCUGUUUGUUUAUUCCCAGGCUGAAGCAAGCUGUUUUGAUUUAACCCGGAUUAAACUCCGGUUUAAUCCGGUUUAUCUUUUGAACGUUUUUCUUGUCUCUUUUUACUUUUAAGGCCAGUGUUUGCCUAGCCCUUGUCUUUUACGGGCAUUUUUGGUUCUGUAACUCCAAUAAACUUUGUUAUCUUUUAUCUUGUGGCGUUCUGUCUUUGACAAUCAGCUAUGGACUUUAUCACAUGUGACUAGUAACAUGACUUUGAUGCUCCCCAGCCAAAAAUGAUCAAAGGAAUUGCUUUGUCAUAUGAUUUUCCACUCACCUCAAACCAGCCUGCAACUCAUGAUGGAGUGCUGUUCAAAAAAUGAGAACUCCCAUUUCUGAGCAGUUAAAGUGUUUCAAAUCUGUGUUCAAGGUCUUUCAGGGCUGCAGUAAAUGAAAAAAUGCUUCAGCAGUGAGUUUGGAGAUGGUCAUGUGUCAUUGUGGGUCCAUAUGGCCAUUGUUCUAGACAUUUUACUUCUGGUAAUCAGAAUGAGAGGAGCUCUGGCUGUAAAACCAUAACUGUUCUCUUUCACCUUGUUAACUUUCUUAAAAAAAUCAUUUUUCAAAUUUUCCCUCUUGAUUAGGUAUUUUUCUUUGUUCUUUUGUUAAUGUUCAAGCAAAGUGUUGUAAUUGAACUGCUGCAAACUCCAAUAAUUUGUGUUGCAAAAUAGCUAGGUUCAGUAAAGCAGCAACCUCUUAAUUUUUUUACUAAUACAGUAGAGUCUCACUUAUCCAACGUAAACGGGCCGGCAAAACGUUGGAUAAGUGAAUAUGUUGGAUAAUAAGGAGAGAUUAAGGAAAAGCCUAUUAAACAUCAAAUUAGGUUAUGAUUUUACAAAUUAAGCACCAAAAUACCAUGUUAUACAACAAAUUUGACAGAAAAAGUAGUUCAAUACGCAGUAAUGCUAUGUAGUAAUUACUGUAUUUAUGAAUUUAUCACCAAAAUAUCAUGAUGUAUUGAAAACAUUGACUACAAAAAUGCGUUGGAUAAUCUAGAAUGUUGGAUAAGCGAGUGUUGGAUAAGUGAGACUCUACUGUAUUUAAAUUGUUUAAAAGGACAGUGCUUCUGAACUUGUGAAAGUAUUUCAUU
This is a long non-coding RNA of Anolis carolinensis (green anole), 2117 nucleotides long. Lineage: Eukaryota; Metazoa; Chordata; Lepidosauria; Squamata; Anolidae. The record is from Ensembl.